RNAcentral lists this ribosomal RNA (161 nucleotides) under uncultured bacterium. RNAcentral's name for it is "partial 16S ribosomal RNA". It matches the Rfam family "Bacterial small subunit ribosomal RNA", at positions 355 to 507 of the family's 1533-position model. The record is from RNAcentral.
UGGGGAAUUUUGGACAAUGGGCGCAAGCCUGAUCCAGCCAUGCCGCGUGCAGGAUGAAGGCCUUCCGGUUGUAACCUGCAUUGGUACCCAAACGAAAAGACUCUGGUUAAUACCUGGGGUCCAUGACGGUACCGUAAGAAUAAGCACCGGCUAACUACGUG